Molecule: ribosomal RNA, 460 nt
Filed under: uncultured bacterium
Lineage: Bacteria
Description: partial 16S ribosomal RNA
Rfam family: Bacterial small subunit ribosomal RNA
Source: RNAcentral
CUACGGGGCGCUGCAGUGAGGAAUAUUGGUCAAUGGACGAGAGUCUGAACCAGCCAUCCCGCGUGCAGGAUGACGGCCCUAUGGGUUGUAAACUGCUUUUCUAUACCAAGAAACCUGUCUACGUGUAGACAGUUGCCGGUAGUAUAGGAAUAAGCAUCGGCUAACUGCCGUGCCAGCAGCCGCGGUAAUACGGAGGAUGCAAGCGUUAUCCGGAUUCAUUGGGUUUAAAGGGUGCGCAGGUGGGAUAGUAAGUCAGUGGGGAAAGCUUGCCGCUUAACGGUAAAACUGCCAUUGAUACUGCUGUUCUUGAGUAUGGUUGAGGUAGGCGGAAUGUGUUGUGUAGCGGUGAAAUGCAUAGAUAUGACACAGAACGCCGAUUGCGAAGGCAGCUUACUAAGCCAUUACUGACGCUGAGGCACGAAAGCGUGGGGAGCGAACAGGAUUAGAUACCCUGGUAGUC